Pipistrellus kuhlii (Kuhl's pipistrelle) is the source of this 102-nucleotide small nuclear RNA. NCBI's taxonomy places the organism in Eukaryota, Metazoa, Chordata, Mammalia, Chiroptera, Vespertilionidae. The record is from RefSeq and is a predicted model, not a curated record.
UUGCUUCAGAAGCACAUGUACCAAGAUUAAAACGAUUCAGGGAAGACUAGCAUGGACCCUGCACACGGUAACAUACAAAUUGAUGAAGUGUUCCAUAUUAAA